This 352-nucleotide ribosomal RNA is filed under the name uncultured bacterium. RNAcentral describes it as "bacterial SSU rRNA". It matches the Rfam family "Bacterial small subunit ribosomal RNA", at positions 527 to 881 of the family's 1533-position model. The record is from RNAcentral.
GUAGGUGGCAAGCGUUGUCCGGAAUUAUUGGGCGUAAAGCGCGCGCAGGCGGCUUCUUAAGUCCAUCUUAAAAGUGCGGGGCUUAACCCCGUGAUGGGAUGGAAACUGAGAGGCUGGAGUAUCGGAGAGGAAAGUGGAAUUCUUAGUGUAGCGGUGAAAUGCGUAGAUAUUAGGAGGAACACCAGCGGCGAAGGCGGCUUUCUGGACUGUAACUGACACUGAGGCACGAAAGCGUGGGGAGCAAACAGGAUUAGAUACCCUGGUAGUCCACGCCGUAAACGAUGAGCACUAGAUGUUGGUCCCGAAGGGAUCAGUGUCGCAGUUAACGCAAUAAGUGCUUCGCCUGGGGAGU